AACGUAGGUGGCGAGCGUUAUCCGGAUUUACUGGGCGUAAAGCGUGUGCAGGCGGAGGAACAAGUGGUGUAUGAAAUCGCUCGGCUAAACCGGGCGGGGUUAUGCCAGACUGUUUUUCUAGAGUGCGAGAGAGGGGCGUGGAAUUCCGGGUGUAGUGGUGAAAUGCGUAGAGAUCCGGAGGAACCCCAGAGGCGAAGGCGGCGCCCUGGCUCGCAACUGACGCUCAGACACGACAGCAUGGGGAGCGAACGGG
This 253-nucleotide ribosomal RNA is filed under the name uncultured bacterium. Its description in RNAcentral is "partial 16S ribosomal RNA". It matches the Rfam family "Bacterial small subunit ribosomal RNA", at positions 524 to 776 of the family's 1533-position model. The record is from RNAcentral.